RNAcentral lists this long non-coding RNA (915 nucleotides) under Cricetulus griseus (Chinese hamster). RNAcentral describes it as "lncRNA (ENSCGRG00015038063.1)". Lineage: Eukaryota; Metazoa; Chordata; Mammalia; Rodentia; Cricetidae. The record is from RNAcentral.
CUCUGAUAAAGCCAAGGCUUCAGUUCUAAAUCUGUGUGCUUUGACCCUCUUUCUCACAUCUAUCUCUCAAGGACUGCAUUUUAAAGAAUCCACCAGCUCCUUGGUCUCCUCACUAUGGCUGCUAGUUGUCAGCUAGCCCCAGUCCUUCUUGACAGGGAGACACCUGGUUUCUACAGGGAUGAGAAUCAGAAACUCUGGAUGGUUGUAGGCCUGGACUUCACUCUUGACCACCUUCCCAACAAUAAGCAUGGAGUCAUUAUCACUGUCAGGUUGUGGAAGGUGGGCGACUGUUUCCCAGAAAUCCCGUACCAAUUAUUGCCAAGUUUGACAUGUCUCCCCAGGAUGUGGCAGACACAGUCUCAGUUUACAUAUAGAGGGUCCGAUUCAAACUUCUGGACAAAUGUGCAACACACCAAGAUUAAAGACAGAGAACACCUGGUCCUAGUACUGUGGGAGGAACUUGGUGUCCAGUCUAGAAGUGUCUCCUGGUCAGCUCAGCCCUGAACUUCAGAUGAUCUGCUACUGUGAGACUGGCUGUCUGUGUCCUGAGCCUUCUCCCUUCCUGGGUACAGCUUCCCCUUUCUUGUCUCCUUUUGCCUGUGGUACUGGCUUCACAGAUCAUCCUUAUACAACACCUAUUCCUUUGAACCCCUCUCCUGGGCUCCCAGUGCAGCAUGUCCCUCAGGUGACUCUAAUCUGGAGGUGCUUGUGGAGCAGGUAUGGAUGGGGUCUCCAUGUCCUGUGGAUCUCUGGGCUAAAAAUUCUGGCCAGAAGUGGACCUGGUGCUGGUCAGAUGACUCUGCUCAGCGGCUUGAAGACACAAUGGGAUGUGUGCAGGAGCAGCUGGUGUACUUCUCCCUCAGGCUCAGUACUUUGCUCCUAAAAGUGAUACUGACCCAAACCCCCACCCCAAAC